GCCAGGCUUGGUGGCACAUGCCUGUAGUCCCAGCUACUCGGGAGGCUGAGGUGGGAGGAUUGAUUGAGCCCAGGAGUUUGAGGCUGCAGUGAGCUAUGUUCGUGCCUCUGCACUCUAGCCUGGGCAACAGAGCAAGACCCUGUCUCAA
Molecule: non-coding RNA, 148 nt
Organism: Homo sapiens (human)
Lineage: Eukaryota; Metazoa; Chordata; Mammalia; Primates; Hominidae
Rfam family: Metazoan signal recognition particle RNA
About the family: The signal recognition particle (SRP) is a universally conserved ribonucleoprotein.
Source: Rfam